This is a long non-coding RNA of Heterocephalus glaber (naked mole-rat), 1048 nucleotides long. Lineage: Eukaryota; Metazoa; Chordata; Mammalia; Rodentia; Bathyergidae. The record is from Ensembl.
GCUCAGUGCUCCCAGCUCGCAGGUUCUGCUCUGCUUGCUUCUAGUAUUCCCUCUGCCCUCCGGGGUUUCCACUCAGCACGAGAAGCUGCUGAGUCCCUCUAAAGGCUCUGAAGGCAGUUAAAAAGGGAGGUGGUUUGCGUCAGGAUUGGAAUCUUCUGGACAAGGGAACUGAGAUGAGGCUUUUAGGGAGUUGCCGUCAGCCGUGAAUACAUCCGGACGUGAGGUGAGGCGGUGCAAACAUUUUAUCCAGUAACUCCCGACAGUAGGGGAAAGAGCUCAGUUUAUUCUGAUUCCUGCAGAGGCCGCCAUGACAUGAGCAGCAUUCCUUCACCAUACCUGUAAGCUGUGAAGUUUAUGCCUUGGACACAACCAACCUGAGGAUGAAAACUCUGAAACCAUGAGCCUCAAGCCUUUCAUUCUUUAUGUUGUCUAUGCCAAGUAUUUUGUUGCAACAACAGAAAGGUGACUAAUGUAUGCAACAUUAUAUUGUACUGCAGCCUUCCAAACUUGGCAGCUGUGGCUAGUAGAAACAGCCUUUGUAACCUUUGUUCUUUUGUGUGUGUGUAGCUCCCUAAUACUCUCUCUUUAAAAGAAAUACAAAACAAAGUAUGGGUAUGAUAACAUUUCAUCUCUUGUCUUUUUCCAAGUAUUUUAUUAAUUGCCUGUUAUCAACUAGUUUACCAAUGAGGUGGGACAAAACCAUGACCAACCAAUAAGAUUACAAGUACAGUCACCCAGGUAGUAUUGAUUAAUUGGGGAUCCAAGUACAGUCACCCAGUUAAUGUUGGUUAAAUGGAGAUCCAAUGGGAAGACAAGUGACAUACAAGGAAUUUCCCAUUUAGAGUAUCAAUCACUGCUAUCUAUCUCCAGGGGAAGUAGUACCUCUUUCCCUUUUAUAAUGCUAACCAAUGAAUGUGCCUCAAUUGUUCACCCUGUUGGCUCCUUCCUGUGUUGGCUUCUUGAGAGCAGCCCUGUCUAACUGCCUACAAGAUAUCUAAUUAACUUACCCAUCUACAAUACCAUGAUCCAAUCACUCCCUAAAAGCCCC